CCCUUAGAUGUUCUGGGCCGCACGCGCGCUACACUGAUGCAUUCAACGAGUCUAAAACCUGCUCUGAUAGGGGUGGGUAAUAUUUUGAAUGUGCAUCGUGAUUGGGAUAGAUGAUUGCAAUUUUUCAUCUUCAACGAGGAAUGCCUAGUAAACGCAAGUCAUCAGCUUGCAUUGAUUACGUCCCUGCCCUUUGUACACACCGCCCGUCGCUCCUACCGAUUGAAUGAUCCGAUGAAUAUCAUGGAUUGAGGAUGCAAGCAGGUUCGCCUGUCUUCAUCUUCGAGAAGUGAAGUAAAUCUUAUCAUUUAGAGGAAGGAGAAGUCGUAACA
RNAcentral lists this ribosomal RNA (329 nucleotides) under uncultured eukaryote. Its description in RNAcentral is "partial 18S ribosomal RNA". It matches the Rfam family "Eukaryotic small subunit ribosomal RNA", at positions 1470 to 1796 of the family's 1831-position model. The record is from RNAcentral.